RNAcentral lists this transfer RNA (75 nucleotides) under Cyclobacteriaceae bacterium. RNAcentral's name for it is "tRNA-Ala". It matches the Rfam family "tRNA". Rfam says of the family: Transfer RNA (tRNA) molecules are approximately 80 nucleotides in length. The record is from RNAcentral. Lineage: Bacteria; Pseudomonadati; Bacteroidota; Cytophagia; Cytophagales; Cyclobacteriaceae.
GGGGAUUAGCUCACUGGCUAGAGCGCUUCCAUGGCAUGGAAGAGGUCAUCGGUUCGAAUCCGAUAUUCUCCACCA